Small nuclear RNA from Suricata suricatta (meerkat), 107 nucleotides. The record is from Ensembl. Lineage: Eukaryota; Metazoa; Chordata; Mammalia; Carnivora; Herpestidae.
GUGCUUGCUACGGCAGCAUAUACACUAAACUUGAAACGAUACAGAGAAGAUUAGGAUGGCCCCUGCACAAGGAUGACCCACAAAUCCAUGCAGUGUUCCAUAUUUUU